AGUUUGAUCCUGGCUCAGGAUGAACGCUGGCGGCGUGCCUAAUACAUGCAAGUCGAGCGAACAGAUAAGGAGCUUGCUCCUUUGACGUUAGCGGCGGACGGGUGAGUAACACGUGGGUAACCUACCUAUAAGACUGGAAUAACUCCGGGAAACCGGGGCUAAUGCCGGAUAAUAUUUAGAACCGCAUGGUUCUAAAGUGAAAGAUGGUUUUGCUAUCACUUAUAGAUGGACCCGCGCCGUAUUAGCUAGUUGGUGGGGUAAUGGCUUACCAAGGCAACGAUACGUAGCCGACCUGAGAGGGUGAUCGGCCACACUGGAACUGAGACACGGUCCAGACUCCUACGGGAGGCAGCAGUAGGGAAUCUUCCGCAAUGGGCGAAAGCCUGACGGAGCAACGCCGCGUGAGUGAUGAAGGUCUUCGGAUCGUAAAACUCUGUUAUUAGGGAAGAACAAAUGUGUAAGUAACUGUGCACGUCUUGACGGUACCUAAUCAGAAAGCCACGGCUAACCACGUG
Molecule: ribosomal RNA, 515 nt
Filed under: uncultured Staphylococcus sp.
Lineage: Bacteria; Bacillati; Bacillota; Bacilli; Caryophanales; Staphylococcaceae
Description: bacterial SSU rRNA
Rfam family: Bacterial small subunit ribosomal RNA
Source: RNAcentral